Molecule: long non-coding RNA, 132 nt
Organism: Stylophora pistillata
Lineage: Eukaryota; Metazoa; Cnidaria; Anthozoa; Scleractinia; Pocilloporidae
Source: RefSeq, a predicted model, not a curated record
GGAGAGUGAAGAGAUUCCAGUGUCUAGUGACCAAGGUCAAGAAGGAGAAAGUAAGCCUGAACGCAAAAAGCCAACUGAGGAAGCUGCUGAAUCUGAGGAGCAAAUAGCAAGUGAAGAGAUCCCAGUGCCCAG